GACGAACGCUGGCGGCGUGCCUAAUACAUGCAAGUAGAACGCACAGUUUAUACCGUAGCUUGCUACACCAUAGACUGUGAGUUGCGAACGGGUGAGUAACGCGUAGGUAACCUGCCUGGUAGCGGGGGAUAACUAUUGGAAACGAUAGCUAAUACCGCAUAAUAUUAAUUAUUGCAUGAUAAUUGAUUGAAAGAUGCAACUGCAUCACUACCAGAUGGACCUGCGUUGUAUUAGCUAGUAGGUGAGGUAACGGCUCACCUAGGCGACGAUACAUAGCCGACCUGGGAGGGUGAACGGCCACACUGGGACUGAGAAACGGCCCAGAAUCCUACGGGAGGCAGCAGUAGGGGAUCUUCGGCAAUGGACGAAAGUCUGACCGAGCAACGCCGCGUGAGGGAAGAAGGUUUUCGGAUCGUAAAGCUCUGUUGUAAGAGAAGAACGGGUGUGAGAGUGGAAAGUUCACACUGUGACGGUAUCUUACCAGAAAGGGACGGCUAACUACGUG
RNAcentral lists this ribosomal RNA (505 nucleotides) under uncultured bacterium. RNAcentral describes it as "partial 16S ribosomal RNA". It matches the Rfam family "Bacterial small subunit ribosomal RNA", at positions 28 to 507 of the family's 1533-position model. The record is from RNAcentral.